Molecule: long non-coding RNA, 1946 nt
Organism: Lolium rigidum
Lineage: Eukaryota; Viridiplantae; Streptophyta; Magnoliopsida; Poales; Poaceae
Exons: 9
Source: RefSeq, a predicted model, not a curated record
CCGCGCGCACACCGCUAUAAACCCUAGCUCCGCCCUCUACCGUCCCCUACCGGCCAUCGGCGGCGGCCUCCCGCGUCGCGGAUCGCUGGUGAUGUUCCGCCUUCCUCACCUCCGCAGGAUUCGUACCGUCGCCAAGCCACCCCACCUCCUCCGCGUGUCCCCGUGGCAACUAUAUCCGUGGGGUUCGGAUUGCCGGCGCCGCGUCCGUGCACCCGUGCCUCUGGCUACUCCCUCCGGCAGCCAGGCCUCGUCUACGACCUCCGCCACGACCUCCCGUGCUCCUGCUCCUCUACCCCGACGCCUGCGACCACCUCCUGGACCCUGCGUCGACCUGGGCUCCUCUAGUGCUCCGGCUACCCUGUGGUGCUGCUACUUUCGCACCUCAGGCUCACCUCCCCGUGCUGUAUUUGUAUAUUUGGGAGAUCAAAUAUAUUUAUCCAAAUCUGGAGUAGGUGCCCUGAGGUGAUGAACACCACGCUGAAGGGUUGCACUUUUGGUGCUUGAUGCAAUGGCUCUAUAGAGCAAGGAAGACAGUGAGAGAUUAACAUGGUUGUGCCGCGUCUGCACUUGGAUGGUUUUAUUUCCUAAAGUUUUUGCUGUGUGCAGUUUGAGUGCUCUAUAACAGGAACCUACUUUAGUAUUUUUCUCAGAGUACAUGCAUUAGUUCUCCAUAAAAGGCUGGAUUACUAGAAGCAAUUAAAUGAGUGCUGGAUAAACAAAAGUGAGAUUUUGCUACCCCUUGUACAUUGCAGGCCAUGGACGCAUGUAUUCUUUCACUGAGCCUGUAGGUAUAUUUCCCAACUCAGAUAUAGCCCUUUUGAGAGAAUGUAUGUGUGAACAUGGCAGUCAUACCUGAUUUACGGUUUAUUAACUCAUUUCUAUAUGUUCUUCCAUUUUGUAUUCCAACAUCAAGUAAGGCAGCUUCUAAAAUCCUAGAAUAUCAUUUUUGAAAAUACUAACGCAAUUCUGAUUUCUGUAGAGUAUUACUUAAACGACUACAAAUGCUUUCUUUUAGUGGUGGUCUGGCGGAUAAUUUUUUAUUUACAUGUGAGUAUGAGAAUCCUUAUGAUCUUGAUACUUUGUAAGAGAUUAAUAGCUUAGGCCCAGUUUAUGAACCUUCUAUUGAAACUGGGAUGCUAUGCAUUUGAGUUCAAGAUGUUACUGUGAUGUGAUUCAGAGAUAUCGUUGUAUAUUACUAUAUCUGUCAUACUCUAUAUAUUCCUUCAACAUAUCAGAGUGAAUGGCAUUUUGUUGCUAUAUCUCCGUCUUGCACCUUAAUUCUUGUAGACUGGAUAGAAGGUCAAAUGCAAGAAUUUCGCAACAAACUGGAUAGAAAACAAAUCACUAUAUGCAAGGCGUGCGGGUACGACCUAAAGCUAAGCUCUCUGGUGCUGUACAUGGCGGCCGGCGUGACGAGGCGGCGACGGAGGGUGGUGGUGUUUGAGGCGGACGUAGGGUGGUGGUGGUUGCUGUGCUGCAAGUGCGGCGCCCACCUCGGGUACGGCUACUACGAGCAUGACACCACCGCCGACAGCAAGGCUCCCCGUUCGCCAAGGAGUACCAGAAGCAUAUGACUGGCAUGGAGGAAGAUCUUCCUGCUCUGGGGCUGGAGCGCCUCAAAUAAAUGAUCAAGAAAUGCCAGGCUACGCCCUGUUCCACGCAGGGCCUCGGCGACGAGAGAGACGUCGCUGUCCCAGGAGGUAGCCAUUGCUAUGGAAUGGGUUCCAGAAGAUUGACAAGAUCAAGGACUCUAACAGGCAGUCCAAGCAGCUGCAGGAGCUCACUGGGAAGAUGAGGGAGUGCAAGCGCUUAAUCGCAGACCUCGCAGGUGUUGGUGACGCCCUUGCCAGGCCUCGGCUGCGGCCGUUCGUUCAGGAACACCACGCACGCUCUGUUCAGUGGAGGCCGGUGGGCGAGGCAGAGCGGGCAGCAAGGGAGCUGCUAGA